AGCUGUGGGCCCCGAGGGAAGUGGGAAGCUGCGCUGCUAGGCCGCGGUUUCCGCGGGUGCAGCUGCCAGCGAGGCCCCUGCGCGGCUCCUCCGUCAGGUUCGGAGCUGAAGCAUUGAGUCAGAGGGACCGGGCGCCCGGAGCGGCCCGGCAGCGGCUCAGCCGCAGCACCCGCUGGGCUGGGCCCGGGCAGCGUCUCCGGACCUCUCUGUGAGGAGGCGCUGUUUCCCUCCCGGAGCACUUUCCCGAGGGCGCGGGCCUCGGGAGCGCGGGCUGCGGCGUGGAGGGCGCGCGGGUCGCCCGGGUGGUGGUGGCGGCAGAAAGGGGCUUGAGGGACGGGAAGGCUCGGGGAAUUCGAGGGAGAGGACGCCAGGGGGCUUUGGAGCUCAGCGCUGUGAGGAUGAGAGCACUGACAGGACCGCCCUCAGCUUCUCCGGACUCAGGUGCCUCCUCAGACAAGUCUUUCCUGCAGGAUCAUUGACUUCAGAUGAUCCAUCUGCUGAUGGAGUUCAUCAAGGAGGUUCUCCAAAAUGGUCCCAUUCCACAUAGUGUUGGAGAUGUUUUUUCUGAAAAUACCGAAGAUGUUCUUAAGCAUCUCUUGGAUGACAAGAUCAGCCUUCUCCUUCUGGAACUGCUGUGGUUGCUUGAUCUCUUCUGGAAAUUUGAAAUCGAUCCUGUCCUGGUGGCAGUUUUCAGGCUUUCUUUUCACCUGCUUGAGAAGCUGCAGACAGGCCAAACUGCUGCUGCGUUGUUGUUGCUGGAGUUGAAGCAAGUUGUAACUUAAGGAAAGAGAUGUCAUGAAGGACAGCAGGAGAGCGAUUUGGAGAAUACAUCUGAUGGCCAUGAUGAGAACAGGAAUGGUGUUUUCUGUUACCUGCACGGUGGAGCAAAGUCUCAAAAGUCUGCAGUGUGUGAGUGUCCUUCCUCCAUGGGUGCAAUCUGUUUAUAUGGGAUGGUGCUCUCUGUUUCAUAGGAAUUUCCUGCUUUCUGUUCUCCCUUUCAGUUUUUCUGUAUCAUUUUUUUCUACAUUUGAUCACAUUUGUGGCUCCAUUUGCAGUAAUAAUCUGAAUACAGUUGGUAUAUAUUGUUACAUUUGUAACAGUUAACUCACAACUGCCUGCUUGCAAGGCAGGUGCUUAUGCUGCUGAGCUAAAUUCCCAGCCCCUCCUUUUUCACAUAUUAAGCACCCUUGCUUAAAAUUCUUCUUCCCAUGGCCUAGGAUUUAGCUGAGUCUCAUAGGCGCCUUGCAAGUGCAAGGUUGUGAGUGCUAUCCUAGGUACCAAAACCAAACAAACAACACCAAAAUUUCUCUUCUGGUCUUUGUAACAUCACUACUAUGUUUUUUCUAUUGUUUUGCUUUGUCUCUUAGUGUGUCUUACCAUUUUCCUACUAAAUUAGGGUUUUAAAAAUGUGUUGGGAUGGCUUAGAAAAAAGUGUUAGAUAGUCCUAUGAUUAAGUCUCAGUUUUGUUUUGCUUUGGUUUAACUUUUAUUUCCUUGUGUUUUUGGUCUGCUUAGUGAGCUUUAUUUUAUAGAAAAAAGUAAAACAAACUUUCAUAAAAAAGUAAUAGGGGAAUAACAAUUGUUAACACAUUGUGUAUUUGUAUCUUUACUUACUCAGAAUAUUUUUAGUUAAUCAGUGUACAUGACAUGGACCUAAAAUAUUCUCCUAAAAGAUAUUAGUACCAAGCCUUUUCUUUACAAAGGACUAAGAGAAACUAGUAUAACUACUUAAAAAAUUUUUUUUCCAUUUCCUCGUGGCUCAGGUUCUUAGUGAGUCUAUGCCACUGAAGUGUGAAGUUUACCAGUGUUUGUCUGAACAUCUCCAUCCCUUACCUCCAUUUCUCUUUCCCUUAACCUUGGAGUGUGUCCCUCACCCACAUGGGAAAGGUCUGCUGUUGGUGUUCCUUUCAGUGUAGUCAGUUGGCCUCUUGUAAUACCUCCAGCAGGUAGGGCUGUGAGUAGCUACUUUCUCCCCAGGGCAAAUAUUGUUAGGAAGAAUGGGAUACUACACAAUGGCCCCCUCCAACUGGAAGCACGAGGAAACUUUUCUUUGAUGUUUCAACUCUAAGAGCAUAAGAGUCUUUCUAUAACUAGUUCUUCUAAAGUUUCAAAGUCGUCAUUUUAAACCUUCAGCGAUUUUCAUUUUCUGUUCACAUUUCUCUAACUUCCUACUGAAUGUGCAGUGUUUUCCAAAUGCAAGGUCCUGUUUCCAGGCAGCUGUGACUCCUGAUUCUCAUCUGUUUGUCUCUGAGAUCUUGGAUAUUCAUUCAGAAUCCCAUUGAGAACAUAAAGUUCUUCAAUAUUAAGUAAUAUAUAUGUUAAAACUAAAGUCGAAGGAGUAUAUGUUGCCAUUUUAGGAGGUAUUCUUAAAUAUGAAAAAUGUUCUACUAUUGCCUUAAUAAAUUUGGUGUUUUCUGAGAUUCACUCCAAGAUAUUUUAUCCCAUCAUAUUUUAUACUUUGUUAUGGAUUGUUGUAGUUACUUUUUGCUCAUUGCUGAGACAAAAUACCUGAAGCCCAAGUUGGGAAAGAAAGGUUUAUUUCUUACAGGUUUUGGAGGUUUCACUCCACACUCAGUUGAUUUCAAGGCAGGCGGGCAUGGCUGGGCCGCCGUUCAUGGUGGCCACCAAUAGGAAACAGGAACUGGCAAAGAGCAAGACACACUUUCUUCCUGCCAUUACAUCACAUCCUGGCUCCACCCCUUUGUGGGUGGAGCUCUGACACCAUCAAUCUAAGCCCUAGACAAUGAAGAAAUAAUAAAUGCACAAUUCAAACUCAUGAAGCCUGGGGGACACAGACGUAAACCAUAACAUGGAUGUAAUCAUGAACAAAAAUCAAUUUCAACAUGUGUUCUAAUUUUGAAUAGGAAUAAUGUGCAUUCCUGUAUAUGGUGGUUAUUUUUGAACACAUUUUAAUUUUUCCCUUCUAAUAUGGCAAAUGUUCAUACAUAGAAAGAGAAUCAAAGGUUCUUUGUAGUCUCCAUAAUUUUAAAGAUGUUUUAAGGUUGUGUCAAUUCUUAGUGAAUCCAAAGGAUUUGAAAAUUACUGGUGUUGGUAACAAUUACAAGUACCUCCUUUGAUGGUUAACUGGAGAUGAGUAUUGUGGGCUUUUGGUGUAAUAUUACAGUGUAUUCUUUAUUCCUUGUCCUGUUUCAAUCACAGUAGAAUAGUGUGGUGUUUUUCUGAGCAGAGAUACUCACUGUGUUGGCUCCUAACUAUACUUGUACACCUAGUGUAAAAUCUGUCCCCUCUCGAGAGACUAUGCCAAUAUGGAUGCCAAGUAAUAAUUAUAUAGAAGUGUACAUAGAGCCCAGUUGAAAACCAAUACCCUCAGGCUUAGGAUUUAGCUCAUCAGGAUAAUCACCUGCCUGGCAAGACCAAGGUCAUGAGUUCCAUCCCAAGUACAAAAAGCAAAACAAAACAAAUGAAAACAAAACAAUCCGAUUCCCUCUACACUAAUGCAAUGUGUGGGAAUUUCAUAAAAAUUCCUAAUAAAACUGGAAAGUUUGCUCAGCUGUGGAGAGUUUCUGUAAAACUCGAGAGCCACAAGCAAAAACUUAUAUUCCACAGUGGGAAGAAUAUAUCUUUUGAUUUCCACUUGCUGACUCGCUCACCCUUCCUUAGUGCCAGGCUGCUCCUACCAAUACUCUGGUUUCUCCUUAACCACAGAAAUGAUCAGACGUUCGAAGAGAGAAUCUCCCAUCAACUGUGAAGAGGCAGACCUUGCAGGCAAGACCUAUGUGCUGUUGUUUUCAAACCCUGUAUUUAACCCUGCCCACAACCCAGUUGUCUUGAUUCAGACCUUCAGUUAGAAUGACUCUCACUGUCUAGCGUGGAUGUUUGCUUCCACAGUGAAGACCAUAAGUAUGAGGGACAAUCACCUUUCUAAGGGAUGAUUGCUCCUGCUGUGGGAUGUACUGGAGUCUCAGCUUGGCAAUCUUUGCUGGAAUCCAAGGAGAAUGCAGAUGCACAGCAAUAACUAGAGACUUCUAGGAGCUCAAUGGAGUGGAUAAAAAAGCUGAUAGAUAUAUGUUCCUCUGAAUCUAUUAUCAAUGAGUUUUCAGUGAUGAGGUGGAAAUGAGAUAAUUUGAUUAAACUUAUGGGUAAUAAACCCUUGCUAUGUUUUGGACACACUUAUUUGUCUGCCCUUAUAGAGAGUUGAACAGAGGUCUGACUCAUAGUUUUAAGGUAAUAAAGGAUACAAAUACAUUAGAAAAGCAGUAAUGGCAUUUUUUAAAUGUACUUCUUAGACACUUGUAGAUCCAAAUGGAAAGUCACUGUUUGUUAAGAAAAACAGCUUUUAAUGUUCUGAAUGUCUCUAAAGAAAAAAGAAGUCAUGAUUCAUUCACUAGGUAAGAACUGCUUGUUUUCUGUUCUUUGUGAUCUCAAUCGUUUUGCUUUCUCAUCUGAUCUAUUCAUAGAAGCCAUCAUGGCUUUAAUCAUGCACCUAUUUCUUGAGGUUGAUUUGGGAGAAUGAGGGAAUAGCAAAAUAACACGUACCAUAAUUUUAAUGGGCCAUGAAAUACUUUGUCAUGUUCUGAGUAACAGUGAGAGGUUUACCUGUACACUGUCCCAUUGUGGCCUGUGACUUUUUUUUUUUUUUCAUUUUUCUUCCUGUUAAUUACAGGAUCCUGCUUCUAAUAGAUUAGUUUGCCAGGGCCUGUAUGUAAUGUCUCAUUGUGAAGGUGAAGACCUGCUAUCCCAAAAUAUGACUUUGUGAAAAUUGAGAAAACCUCAGAAGUUAGGUGAUCCAACCAUUUGCAAGAAAUACAUUUAACUGAAAAAGAAACUGAUGGACUAAAAGUCAAAGGAUGUAAAAUGAUGAUCUAUGCAAUAGUUUACCAAUUCUGUUUGUAGAUAAUUUGAACUUCCAACCAAAAAUGAUCAGAAGAGAUAAAGAAGGUCACUGAAUAAUUUUCUGAUGGGAAAGUUCAAGAGGAAAUUAUAACAAUCAUAAAUAUGUGUGCACCAAAUAUGAGAGCACCCAACUAUACAAGACAGAUCUUAAUGUGCAUGAAAAAUGUGCAGUAACACAAUUGUAAAAGGGACCUUCAUAUGCCAUUGUCAAAAAGAGAUAGUUCGAGUACACAAAAGGCAAAUAAAUCCCAACAGAGUCAAGUAUGUGAACAAAUGGACUUAAUAGGCAUUUAUAGGCCAUACCCAGCUUGUCUAAGUGGCUAGUAGGGCCCUGAAUCAAAUCUAGGGAGCUGAAUAUGUGUGAGUUGAUUCCCAGCCCAUGGAGGAAGCUUUGGAAUGUGGCUGCCAGCAGGUAAGACCAUGCCCAGUGACCCAAGUCACCAGAGGAUGCACAAGACAUUCCAGUAGGGCUAAUGGGCCACAUCCAUUGACUUACAAGAGGCUAGAAGGGAUCUGCCUUCAGUCCCAGGUUCCAAAAUUGGGCCAGGUGAUCUGGAGCACAUGGGGAAGAUUUGAAACAUCACUUGAAACCAGAAAUAUAGGAAAAUGACAAAAUGAAAGAGCAAAAUGCAAUCUCAAACUUCCAGCCCAAUCUUCUUAGCAAGCCUAGGAGAUAUUGACACAGAAGAAAAUGUAAGCCAUACACCUGAAAUUCCUGAAAUGAUUAGAACAGAAGUAAAGAAAAAAAUGUGGGAAAGUAUAAAAGAACUCAGAUCAAAAAUAAUCUCUCAGAUAAAAGAAGAAAUGAUAAAUGAAAGAACUGCCAACCACAUCUAAAAAACACAUAGUUUAAAAAUUACAGAAACACCACCAAAAGAUAGAAACCUUGAAUGAACAAUAUAAGAAACAAACAGAAUGCAUGAAACAAAUUCAAAGAGAUGUACAGGAAAUCAAAAAUUCCUUUGAAAGUUGUCAAAACCCCCUCAACAAAAGUGAAGGUAGAAUUUCACCUUGAAGUCAAGAUUGCAGCUAGUGAACAGGAAAGGAAAGAUCUUUUAAAAAUAACAAGAAAUCAGAAAAUAACAGUUCAACACCUGGAGAAUGAUGCAAAGAAAAGCAACAUAAGAUUGAUAGCUAUAAAUGAAAUAGAAGGUGACCACACACAUGAUAACAAGAGGCUAUUUACAGAAGAAAUAGCUGAAAAUUUCCCAAACAUGAGAAUGGAAAAUGACAUAAAGAUCAGUGAACAUAUAGAACUUCAAAUAGCCAUAACCAAAAUGAAACCAAACUAAAACAUGUAAUAAGUAACAUCCUGGAAAUCCAACAUAAGAACAGUCUAUUAAAAGCUGCUAGAGAGAAGAAAAAGAUCACCUAUAAAGGAGAGACUAUCAGAAUCACAGCACACUUCUCAAAAGAAACAAUGAAGUCAAGAAGAGAGAGCAUGGAGUGAGGUAUUUCAGAUCCUAAAGGAAAAUGAUUUCCAAUCCAAACUGAUGUACCCUGCAAAAUUGUCCUUCAAAAUGGAUGGAGAAAUAAGAUAUUUCCAGGAAAAAAAAGCUGAAGAAUUUCAUGACCACCAAACCAAUCAUGCAAAGAAUACUGAAAGACACUCGAUAGACAUGGGGAAAAUCCACUAUGCAAGACAAACAAGUGAAACAGCAGAAAGAUAACAUAUCAAAACUAAACCAACAUGUAUCAGUUGUAACCAUUAAUGCAAAUGGCCUCCAUUCACUAAUUAAAAGAAACAGACUGGCAGAAUGGAACAAGAAACAAAAUCCAACCAAAUACUGUCUACAAGAAACCCAUCUAACGCAAGGAAAAGUCUUAGAAAGUCCCAGAGUGGAAAACAAUACUUCAUGCAACAGGAAUCUCCUAAAAAAACCAUGGAUAACUAUUCUAUUUGCAGACAAUGUGAACUUCAAGAAUGACGCAAAGAGAUAUAGAUGGUCAGUACAUACUAUUUAGGGGAAAUCUUCAAGAGGAAGAGAACAAUCUUAAAUACAUAUGCACCAAAUUUGGGAGCACCUAGCUAUAUAAAACAAAUAUUAACAGAAAUGAAAAAUCACAUAACCAAUAAUACAAUUAAAACAGGAGACCUUAAUACACCAUUGCCACAAAGGGACAGAUCAACUAGACAGAAAAUCAACCAAAAAAUAGCAGAAGUGAAUCACACCUGUGAACAAAUGGACUUGGUGGACAUAUACAAAGUGUUCCACCCAACAACAUCAGAAUAUACAUUUUUUCAGCAGCACGUGGAACGUUCUCUAAAAUAGACCACAUCUUAGCCCACAAAAUAUGCUUAUGUAAAUGCAAAAGGAGAAAUUAUUCUAUGCAUGUUAUCAGAUCAUGGCACCAUGAAACUAGGAAUUAAUGACAAAAGAAACUGCAAAAACCCUAGAAACAUAUGGAAAUUGAAUAAUACACUCCUGAGCACUCAGUGGGUCACAGAGGAAAUUAAAGAGGAUACUAAACAAUAUCUACAAGCAAACAAAAAUAGAAAUACAUCUUACUGGAACUGUGGGACACAAUGAAAUCAGUCUUCAGUGGAAAAUAAAUUGCAUUCAAUUCCCACAUCAGGAAAACAGAAUGAACACAGAUAAACAACCUGAUGCUACACCUCAAACAUCUAGAAAAAGAAGAGCAAGACAAGCCCAAAGCCAAAAGAAGGGAGGAAAUUAUAAAGAUCAGAGUAUAAAUCAAGGCAGUAGAGACUAAGAAAACAACCCAAACAAUCAAUGAAUCAAAGAGUUGGUUCUUUGAAAGAAUAAAAAAAUUGAUAAAAUUGAUAAGCAUCUAGCCAACCUUAUUUUAAAAAGGACAGAAAAAGUUCAUGCAAUAAGGAAUGAAAAGCAUGAAAUCACUAUAGACCUUCUGAAAAUACAGAAGAUCAUCAAUACCUACUUUGUAAACCUCUACUGCCAUAGAUUAGAUAACAUAAGAAAUGGACAGAUUGCUAGAAAAAUGAACUACCAAAGCUGGAUCAAGAAGAUGUAAAACUGCUGAAUAUCCCAAUUUCAAUUAAGAAAAUUAAAAAUGUAAUUAAAUCCUUGCCAACAAAGAUAAGACCAGGUCUAGACUGAUUCACUGUGGAAUUUUACAAGAAAUUAAAAGAAGAUUUAAUGUUGACACUCCUCAAACCCUUCAAUGAAAUUGAAAGGCAUGUAAUUGUCCCUAACUCAUUCCUGGAAGCAAAUAUUACUUUAAUCCCAAAAACUUGAGAAAGACCCAACCAAAAAAGAACACUACAGGUCCAUCUCCCUUAAUGAAUGUGGAUGCAAAAAUUCUCAAUGAAAUUUUGGUAAACAGAAUGCAGCAAAUCAUCAAGAAGAUUAUUCACCAUGAUCAAUGUGAUUCAUCUCAGGAAUGCAGGAAUGGUUCAACAUAUGCAAAUCAAGAAAUGUAAUGAACCACACCCAUAAAGCCAAAAGUAAGAAUCACAUGAUCAUUUCUAUAGGUGCAGAAAAAACUUUUGAUAAGGUCCGACACUAAUUCAUGGUGAGAAACUUACAGAAAAUUGGAAUACAUGGUCUUCACCUCAAUAUGAUAAAACCCAUCUAAGACAAAUCAACAGCCAGCAUUAUAUUAAAUGUCCAAAAACUGAAAACCUUUACCUUAAAAUCAGGCAUAAGACAAAGAUGUCCAUUACACCACUCCUAUUCAUUAUAGUGCUGGAAGUACUAUUUAGAGCAAUUAAGAGAGAACAAUAAAAGGAGUAAGUAUAGGAAAAGAAGAAGUAAAAUUAUUAUUUGCAGGUGACAUGAUACUCUACAUUAAAAAACUCCAAAAUUCAUUGAAAUACUCCUAGGUAUAAGAAAUAAAUUCAGUAAUGUAGCAGGAUACAAAGUCAACACUCCAAAAUUAAUAGUAUUCCUCUACACUAACAAUAAAAUUAUUGAGUGAGAAAUGAGAGAAGCCACACCAUUCACAAUAGCAUCCAAAAAAAUGAAAUACUUAGAAAUCCAUCUAACAAAAGUAAAAAAUCUGUUCAAGGAAAAUUAUAAUACCCUGAAAAAAAUCGAAGAGGAGCUCAGAAAAUGGAAACAUGUCCCUUGUUCAUGGAUAAGAAGAACAAACAUAGUGAAAAUGGCCAUUCUCCCAAAAUUGUUAUACAGGUUCAAUGAAAUACCAAUCAAAAUACCACUAGCAUACCUCACAGAUUUAGAGAAAUCACUCUUAAAAUUCAUCUGGAACAGAAGAGACCUAGAACAGCAAAGGCAAUUCUAAGUUACAAAGUUAAGGCAGGAGGCAUCAAAAUCCCUGACUUGAAGUUAUACUACAAAGCUACUGUAAUAAUGUCAGCAUGGUACUUGAAUAAAAACAGACCUGAAGAACAAUGGAAUGCAUUAGAAGAUUCAACUACAACUACAAACACACUCAGCCACCUUAUCUUUGAUACAGGAGCCAAACAUGUCCACUGGAAGAAAGAUAGUCUGUUCAAUAAAUGGUGCAGAAAAAUUGGCUCUCUAUAUGCCGAAAACUAAAACCCAUGCCUAUCUCCAUGUACUAAGCUAAACCAAAUGAAUCAAAGAUCUAAAUAUUAACAAAACACUAAAUCUGUUGGAAGACAAAGUAGGACGAAAUCUUGAAGUCAUAGGAGUAGGCAAAGAAUUCAUGAACAAAUACUUCACAGAAUCAGUAACUGGGAUCAUGACAUAUUUAAAAGUUUCUGCAUAUCAAAAACAUGUUCAGCAUAGUCAAAAGAAAAUCCACAAAUUGGGAAAAAAUCUUAGAGAACUGUCCCUCACACAAAGGAUUUCUAUCUAGAACAUAUAAGAAUUUAAAAAACACCAGAUCCCUGAAAUUAAAAUACCCAAUCCAAAAAUGGUCAUCUGAAAUGAAUACAGAGUUAGAUGAAAAAAUAAAACUGUCAAAUAAAUGCAUGAAAAAAUGUGCAUCAUCAUUGGUCGUUAGAGAAAUACAAAUUAAAACCACACUGAAAUUGAAUCUCACUGCAGAGAGAAUGGUCAUGAUCUAGAAAACUGCCACUAACAAAUUCUGGCAAGGUUGCGCCUCAAAAGAAACUGUUCUGCACUAUUGGUGGGAGUGGAGACUGAUGUAACCACUGUGGGGGUCAGUCUGGAGAUUUCUCAGAAAGCUGUCUUUUGAAGUCCCAUUUGAGACAGCUAUUGCACUUCUUGGCAUAUUCCCUAAGUGCAUCCAUAUUUAUAGCAGCAGCACUAUUUAUAAUAGCCAGAUGUUGGAAACAACCUAAAUUCUUAUCAACUGAGUAAUGGAUAAAAAAGUGGUAUUUUUAUACAACGGAGUAUUACUCAGCUGUAAAGAAUGAUCACAUUGAGGUAUUUAUAAGUAAAUUGAUACAACUCAAGACCAUAGUCAUAAGUGAAAUAAACUAUCAUGUGUAAAUACUGUAUAGUCUCCCUAGUGUAAGAAAUGGUACAUACGUAAGGUACAAAAUACUCAGCAAAUACAGUAAAAGGACAAGAAUCUGCAUAAAGGGGAAAAAUAAUAUCUCAGGGAACAUGAGGGAAAAAAAAGGAAACUAAAAAAAUGUAAAAUUAUAUAAACACACUUAGGAUAUUUAAGAUCAUUGUGCUACAAAUUCUAUGGUCUUGGAGCAAAACAGUUAACAUUCAUAGGAUUGGAACCAUUGUGCAUAUUACUGUAUGGCGAUCUGAGGAACUCUUGCGGAUCAUCAUGUAAAAUAACAACCUUAGUUAUGCUCCUACCACCUUGUUUUGAAGAUGUAUAUUGUCAGUGUUUUGAGCACUUUGCUAUUGUUAUUUAUUUAUUUUGUUUUGUUUUGUAUUUUUCUAGGCAUUUGUUUUGUUUUUCCAUCUAAUGCAGAAAGGAUAGAUAGAUAUACAUGUAGAGGCUCAUACAUGUAUGUAACUUCUAAGUAGUUUAUGAACUUCUAAGCAGUUUAAUUCAUUAUAUAAUGCAUGGUGAAAUGAACAGCUGCUAUGAAGAAAACUAGAUACUAUGGUAUCCAGUGCUGAUUUCGUAAGGUCAUGCUGUGAAAUCCAGUAAUACUAUUAUUAUUUGUUUAGAGUGAUUUUAUUGUUUGUUGUUAAUUUCAACAUACAUGAGGAUACAGACAGCUAUUUUGAAGAGAACAAGAGAGAUUAGUGCAGCCAUUGUUAAUUUCCCUAUUGUCUGAUUUUGAAGGCCUAUAAUGCCUUUAUCAUUGUGUUCUGAUCAGUUUAAUACUAUUUUGUUGUGCAUGAAUUCAUUGUGUGUGAAGAUAUGGACAACUGUUUAGAAGAAAACAAUAGACACUAUGAUAGCCAAUGAUGAUCUCUUGUCUUGCUUUGAAAUUUGUGUUACUUACAUUGUUUUCUUCUGAUCUGCUUUGUUCUGUUUUCUUAUGCUUAGUUUUACCCUCUUUAAAAUAAAAAGUUAAAAAACUUA
Molecule: long non-coding RNA, 11222 nt
Organism: Cavia porcellus (domestic guinea pig)
Lineage: Eukaryota; Metazoa; Chordata; Mammalia; Rodentia; Caviidae
Exons: 2
Source: RefSeq, a predicted model, not a curated record